RNAcentral lists this ribosomal RNA (98 nucleotides) under Oryzias latipes (Japanese medaka). Lineage: Eukaryota; Metazoa; Chordata; Actinopteri; Beloniformes; Adrianichthyidae. The record is from RNAcentral.
CUUAUUUACCACCCUGAACACGUUCUGUCUCAUCUGAUCUUGGGGGCCUAAGUAGUACUUGGAUGGGAGACUGCCUGAGAAUACCAGGUGCUAUAAGU